Molecule: non-coding RNA, 455 nt
Organism: Lontra canadensis (Northern American river otter)
Lineage: Eukaryota; Metazoa; Chordata; Mammalia; Carnivora; Mustelidae
Source: the annotation of a RefSeq genome assembly
CGUCCACUGAUCAUUUCUGUCACUCCAACCUUCUCCAUGGUAAGAAUGAAGAACAUUAUUUAAGUGACACUCCAAAGAUGAAGUGUUCUCCAGUCUUCGUGACUGUAGUACUCUUAAUACUUGGACAAACCCAUGGAGACUCAGUGACUCAGAUGGAGAGCCAAGUGACCCUCUCAGAAGAGGCUUCCCUGAAUAUCAACUGUACUUAUACAACAAGUUAUCCCACUCUUUUCUGGUAUGUCCAGUAUCCAGGAGAAGGAAUAGAGCUCCUCCUGAAAGCCUCAAGGGACAAGGAGAAGGGAAGCAACAAAGGAUUUGAAGCCACCUAUGAUGGAGAUUCCAAAUCCUUCCACUUGGAGAAAGGCUCAGUGCAAGCUUCAGAUUCAGCUGUGUACUACUGUGCCAUGAACGACACAGUAAGGGGAACUGCAGGGGGAGUGGAGCACAAACUCUGA